UGGAGACAAAUCACAUAUGAAUGCAAUUAUCUUAAAUUGAGAACAAAUGGAGGCUUUACUGAAGCUUUUAAGAUGUUUCUCUUAAGAAAAAGACUCUUAUUUAGCUUCAAAAGAGAUCAAACUGCUGACAUUUGGCAAGUUUUCAGUCAAAUCCUAAUAUGAACUUGUUUGGAAAGUUUCAAAUCAAAUGAUUAUUUUUAUAGUUCUGUACUCCUCUAUGUUCGAAUUAUUUUUGCUUAUUCUUCCCAAAGUUUUUUUUUUUUUUUUUUUCUCAGAUGGACGUUGAGAUGUGAUUGAGAUCUCCAUCAAGUGGAUCGAAGUACAAAAGAGCAUUUUAUGAGCAGUAAACCCUUCAUUAUUUAUCUCAGAAUAUUUGUUCAAGUUGUUCCUGAAUUAAUAGAAGUUUAUUGAGUGUAUUUAUAUAUCUUAAACACACUCUAAAAUGAUCAUGUUUCUUUAAAUCCUCCAUUUUGCUGAUCAUUUGAGACGUCUUUAGCCCGUGGCGGAGCUGAAACUGUGUCUCUCUCAUUGAUAUACGGCACCAGAGCCGAAGCUUUGUUGAGUCGGGUAUUUCCAGAUGGCUCACAAAAGACUCAAUUGACUCGCUCCUCUAAUGUGUUAAAGCGUUUGCUCCCACAUGACAAAUUCGGAGGGGAAAAAACCCUGCCUCUCGGCAUGUAAAAGAAAAAAAAAGUAAAAGAUGAAAUAUCAAACAGAUUUUCUCUUUCACUGUCGAUUUUUGAGCAUUUAGAUUCUCACCCAGCAGUACGUGACAUUUAUAUAAAUCAGUCAUGCCAGGGCCUUGUUGCGUUCGUACUCGGACCUUAUCGGAGUGCCUGUGUAUAAAUAAAGUUUGUCUCUUACAGAUACACUUACAUCACGUCUCACUGUCUUAUGCAAUGGAGUCUGGAGCUUCGCCAGCAUGCAGUGAACCAGAGAAAGCGGAGAGACGUCCCAGCGGCCCACAGCCCUGACAACACCCUUCUAUCCCCCUCUGAAAUCUUUAUUUACUGCCCCCGCACUCCUACUCCCUCGCCGGGGCAAUUAAAGCACCGCUGUGUCAGACGGGGAAAGACUGAAAUGGAAAGGGAUACCUUGAAUGCAAUAUGACUCUUGGAAUCAGACAGCGGUUAAAGUUUCGCGCUGAAGACGUGCAGACGUGAUCGCCAGAAUGUCGCACCUGAUUCCUGAGCCCAGAGGAGAGUUUUAGCACUCAGAUGUUGCUCUUUUAAGGCUCCAGAGACUCCAAGGCGUCAUGAAAUUUACAUUAUUUACUUUUGCAAGGCAUGUCUGUGGUCUCAUCGUGCAUGAUUCAUCAGCACACGCUGUUUGAAAGGACAAAGAGGAUUUGAAUCUGAGGUCGUUUGUGAUUUUUCUUUAUUUGCAACAAAGCCCUUCCAAACUCCGUUGCUCACAGGUUGCUCGUUCACAGCUCAAAAACUUAAUGGAGAUCCUAGUUAUGCUUCGUGCAGGUUGCUCAUUCACAUCUCAAAAGACAUUUCUUGUCAUGGUUCAUAAAAGCCCUUCUGAACUGAAUGGCUCACAGGUUGCUCAUUCACAUCUCAAAAGACCGGAUGGAGAUCCUAGUUAUGUUUCAUGUACUCAGGUAACGUCAGUUUGUCGGUGUCUGUCAGUAAGAACUCGACUCUGCUGGUUGACUGGAACAGCGGGAGCAAACAGACAACCCAAUGUGCUCUGCUCGUCUCAACCGAAGGAAGACAGGAGAUCCAGAUACACCUUUUACCAUGGUCUGGAUCGCUCCAGCUGGAAAAUAUGACAGACAAUGGCAAACACUACUUCUUAUGCACUUGUUUUGAACAAUCGCAGGGACUCUUGUGCUCCAAGAACAUAAGUUUUGUUAUGGGCCCUGUCUCUGCACCGCCUCUGGUCCUGAUGUCAGAUACUCAGAGCUCUGCCAGUUACAUCAGCAUGAGAUGGUUGAGCAGCGGUGUGUUUGGAACGACUUUAGCAACAUUUGUCAUUAUUCUAGUCUACAUUAUAUACAGAAGAUGGACGGGGAAUGGUGUCUUCCAACUGCGUCUGAGAUAAAUAGAGACUCGCCUGGGAAUUUAAAGCAAUAGUUACCCCAAAUAUUAAAAUGUUCUGAAAAUGUAUUGACCCUCAGGCCAUCCAAGAUGUAAAAGAGUUUGUUUAUGGGAACAGAUUUGGAGAAAUUUAGCAUUGCAUCACUUGCUCACCAAUGGAUCCUCUGUAGUGAAUGGGUGCCGUCAGAAUGAGAGUCCAAACAGCUGAUAAAAACAUCAUAAUAAUCUACAAGUAACCCACACCACUCGAGUCCAUCAGAUAAUGUACAGUGAAGUGAAAAGCUGUGUGUUUAUAAGAAAUCCAUCGUUAAUACGUUUUUAACUUCAAACGGUUGCUUCCAGCUAAACUAUAACUCCAUACAAAACACUUCCUCCAGUGAAACAGUGAAUUUGAGAUGAAAAAAUCAAAAAUCAAAAUCCACCCACGUUUGUUUUGAACUGUUUUCGCUAAAUCUAUGCAUAUUUCUCUUCUGAUUCAGAUCAGAUGAAUUUAUCACUGGAGAAGUUAAAGUCUUAAAGGUCCCGUUUUUCAUGCUUUUUUGAAGCUUUGAUUGUGUUUACACUGUGCAAUAUAACAUGUGUUCAUGUUUCGCGUGUAAAAAAACAAAGAUGAUUGGACUCCGAGAUGAAAAUAACAGCGUUUCAACGACGUGUCGAACACAAACGCAGCUCUUCCUUCUUCUCCGUCGGAGCGCAACAAGACCACGCAAUUGUGAAUUCAUGUGUGCGAAGGUUAGUCAAAAAACUGUUUUAGUGACGUCAUUACUGCAGGACCUAGAGGGAUGUAGUCCAAACGGGUCGUUUUUUGUAGGCGAAUUCUGUUCAUUCAAAUAUCUCGCUUGGCAUUGAACUUUGAGCUUUAGAAUUUUACAGAUAUUAUUUAUACUCUAACAACAACAUUACACACUAACUAAAGUUUAAAACAUGGGAUCACGAAGAAGGGGACCUUUAAUAAUGAGGUGGAAUGCUACAUUUCUCCAAAUCUGUUUUAUGAUGAAAAAACAAACUCAUCUACAUCUUGGAUGACCUGAGGAUGAGUACAUUUUCAGCUAAUAUUUAUUUUUGGCUGAGCUAUUCCUUUACUUGUUUACAGAAGAGACAUGUGUACUAUCACUGACAUUCAUUUCAAGUAUAUUAAUAUUUGUAUGAACUAAACCGCAGUGGACCUUGAACUGGGUGGACGUCAUAUUUAAUGUGAUGUGAAUGAAACGAUGACAGAAAUACAGUUGUGUGUGUUGAUCAUUUAUCCAGCGAAAAGUCUUUCAAAUUAUUUCCAGUUUACAAAAAAACUAUGUAAAACGUGAGUUGUGAAAAUAUGACUGUUACUUCAGAUAAUGUGAAAAACAUCUGUUUUCAUUCACAUCAGAUUAAAAACAUUGGUAACAUUUUACAAUAAGGUCCCAUUAAAUAAUGUUAGUUAAUGCAUUCAUUAACAUGAACUAAAAUAUUGAAAUUAACCAAGAUUAAUAAAUGCUUUAGUGGUAUUUUUUAUGCAGAAUUUUUUUUUUUUUUUUUGAUUUUUGCGACUCAUGUAUGAUUCAGCCUGUAGCUUUCUUUAGUUUUCUGGUCAAAUUCAGAAGAUCUACAUUUCUGAUUAAAACUUUAUACUGUUCCUAAGAAACACAAUAAAGAUUUUGAUAUUG
This is a long non-coding RNA of Carassius gibelio (silver crucian carp), 3688 nucleotides long. RefSeq lists it as uncharacterized. NCBI's taxonomy places the organism in Eukaryota, Metazoa, Chordata, Actinopteri, Cypriniformes, Cyprinidae. The transcript has 10 exons. The record is from RefSeq and is a predicted model, not a curated record.